Brachypodium distachyon (stiff brome) is the source of this 2175-nucleotide RNA transcript. It is a transcript of the gene named F-box protein At5g46170, with no coding region annotated. The transcript is spliced from 3 exons. The record is from RefSeq and is a predicted model, not a curated record. NCBI's taxonomy places the organism in Eukaryota, Viridiplantae, Streptophyta, Magnoliopsida, Poales, Poaceae.
UUCUCUCUCGAAUUGUCCAGGAAGGGAAAAAUUUAUACAUCCCCAUGAUUUCAGGAAUGAGUGGGGGCUCCACUGCAUUUUUUUCCCUUCCCGGACAGAAAACAACAAGAGACUGCAAGCCGUCCACCUCCUCUCUCUCUCUCUCUCUCUCUCUCUCUCUCUCUAAGCGCUCUUCGUGGCCUCCCACGCCCCUCCCUCUCCCGCUCCAGAUCCGGUCUGCGACGCCGCCGGCCGAUGGCCGAGGAAGCCGCCGCGGGGUCCCGCCGAUGGCGCAGCUGCGACCCCGGCGGCGAGGAGCACCGGCUCUCGGCCGCCGCGGGGGAGGACCGCUUCGACGGCCUCCCGGACCCGCUCCUGCUCGUCAUCUUCAACCGCAUCGGCGACGUCAAGGCGCUCGGCCGCUGCUCCCUCGUCUCCCGCCGCUUCCACGCGCUCGUGCCGCUCGUCGACUCCGUGCUCGUCCGCGUCGACUGCGUCAUCCCCGACGACGCCUCCUCCGCCGGCGCCGCCGCCGCCGCCGGCGACUUCUCCCUCUCCGCGCCUUCCUCCCCCACGGCCUCCGCCCGCGCGCGCAACGUCGUCUCCCAGAUCGCGCGCAUGGUCAUCGGCGGCAUCGUCAAGCCCAUCCAGGCGCUCGGCCAGAUCCUCUCCCACGGCAACUCCGACUCCGACUUCCCGGCAUCCUCCUCCUCUGCCUCCCGCCGCUUCGCCUCACUGUCGCCCUCGUCGCCGCCGUCUGGCGAUGUGUCGCACCACUCGCCCUCGGAGGUGCUGCGUUCCUUCAAAGAGCUCCGCCGCCUGCGCAUCGAGCUCCCGGCCUGCGAGCACGGCAUGGACGACGGCGUGCUGCUCAAGUGGAAGGCUGACUUCGGGUCCACGCUCGGCAGCUGUGUCAUCCUAGGCGCGGCAUCCGCCUCACCGUCCUCUGCUGGCAAGGACGGUGCAGGCACAGCAGCUGCUGCUGCCGCUGCUGCUGACUGUGGCGAAUCUGACGAGUCAGGGAGUAUCCCGGAGUCGUUCUACACAAAUGGGGGGCUGAAGCUGCGGGUCGUGUGGACGAUCAGCUCGCUGAUUGCGGCGUCUGCCCGGCAUUACCUGCUGCAACCCAUCAUUUCAGACCACAAGACGUUGGAGAGCCUGGACCUGACAGACGCCGAUGGGCAGGGUGUGCUCACCAUGGACAAGUGGCAACUGCAGGAGCUGCGGGUCAGGCCGGUAUCUGCAUCUGAUGGCUCACACCGCACGCUCAUGCCGGCGCUUAGCAUGCGGCUGUGGUACGCACCACACAUUGAGCUGCCUGGGGGGACGGUCCUGAAUGGAGCAACACUGGUGGCCAUCAAGCCGAGUGAGGAUGCAAUGCGGGACUCAGUUGGGAGUGGAGCUGCUGGGUCAGCAGGUGGAUCCUGGGUUUCAGAUGCAUUUGAGGAGCCAUAUCGGACAGCCGUGAGGAUGCUUCUCAAAAGGAGGAUGUAUAGCCUUGAGAUGAACUCAUUCUAAGCUAUGGAGAGAGUGCCAUUUCGGAAGUUUCAUCUGUGAGAGAGGUAUAUGUUUUUGUCGGGAUUGCUCCUUUCAGUUGCAUACUCAGAGUCUCACACACCAAUAUCUGCCCCAACCCGUCCUUUUCAGCUGUUUUACGCAUCCUGAUAAGAGAUGAUGUUAUUGUAUUCUCAUGAGUUACACUCGGCGCACUAUGUAACUUAAGAAAGGAGUAGAAGUUCUCUGGCUGCCUAUUUUUGUUCCAGCCUGCGCCUACCUCAGACAAAACGCAAUUAGUGAUUAAUGUAUGAACGUGAAGUGAUGAUGCCGUGGACUCGUUGCUGAUGUUGGAACUGCUGCACAAGUCAUUGUUGAGCUUGCUGGCAGUCCCUCAAGGCCCCCUAUCUGAAUUACAUGUGGCAGCAUGGAUAACUUGCUUGUACAAUUUCCUUAUUCACACCAAGCUGCUAACGCUAUGUUAAUUUCCGCUUUUGGAUUGUGCCUCUUUUUGGUUGCUUCUUGCCUGAGUUCGCAGAAGCUGCACGAAUGUUGUAAUUCAAGAACGAGUGCUAGUGUAGUAUAACGCUGUGAAUCUAAAUGCUGAACCAAUUUUAUGUGGACGCCGCUGAGAACGCUGCUGCGUGCGUUCCUUGCGGUCGGGUCCGAUUGUAUUUGCCUGGACUGACUUUCUUCUGCUGU